AGAGAGAGACAUGCGCGCAUAUCAAUAAGCGGAGGAAAAGAAACUAACAAGGAUUCCCCUAGUAACGGCGAGUGAAGCGGGAAGAGCUCAAAUUUGAAAUCUUAAAGGGUUUCCCUUUACGAAUUGUAGUUUAAAGAAGUGUUUUCUGUUGAGGUUUUGGUAAAAGUUCUUUGGAAUAGGACAUCAUAGAGGGUGAGAAUCCCGUAUUUGACCUUUACUUUCAACUUUGUGAUACACUUUCAAAGAGUCGGAUUGUUUGGGAAUGCAGUCCAAAGUGGGUGGUAAAUUUCAUCUAAAGCUAAAUAUUGGCGAGAGACCGAUAGCGAACAAGUACCGUGAGGGAAAGAUGAAAAGAACUUUGAAAAGAGAGUUAAACAGUACGUGAAAUUGUCAAAAGGGAAGCGUUUGACACCAGUGUUGUUUUUCUGAAAAUCAAUUAAAGAACUGUUUAUGCUAAGCUGUUUAGACUUUAUCAGCUAUACUGUUUAGUUUUGAGCUUUUCUUUAAUGCACUUUUCAGUUAACAAGUCAACAUCAAUUUCUUUUGCUGUAAAAAAGCUUGAGGAAGGUGGCUUGAGAUUCGUCUUAAGUGUUUAUAGCCUCUUGCCUAUGCAGCCGGAGAGAUUGAGGUCUGCAGCGUAGAUCCUUCGGGGCUAAAUGCAUUUGUGCUAAGUUAUAGCAUUUUAUAGACAACUUGUUGACUAUGAUUUGUCUUGUAGCUUACUCGCUUAUGUUAUUUUACCUACGCUUAGGAUGUUGACGCAUGAGAUAUACGC
This 775-nucleotide ribosomal RNA is filed under the name uncultured Neocallimastigales. RNAcentral's name for it is "partial large subunit ribosomal RNA". It matches the Rfam family "Eukaryotic large subunit ribosomal RNA", at positions 23 to 647 of the family's 3401-position model. The record is from RNAcentral. Lineage: Eukaryota; Fungi; Neocallimastigomycota; Neocallimastigomycetes; Neocallimastigales.